GUGGAUUAGAUACCCUAGUAGUCCACGCCGUAAACGAUGAUAACUAGCUGUCCGGGUUCAUAGAACUUGGGUGGCGCAGCUAACGCAUUAAGUUAUCCGCCUGGGGAGUACGGUCGCAAGAUUAAAACUCAAAGGAAUUGACGGGGGCCUGCACAAGCGGUGGAGCAUGUGGUUUAAUUCGAAGCAACGCGCAGAACCUUACCAGCGUUUGACAUCCUGAUCGCGGAUUAGAGAGAUCUUUUCCUUCAGUUCGGCUGGAUCAGUGACAGGUGCUGCACGGUCGUCGCCAACU
Molecule: ribosomal RNA, 292 nt
Filed under: uncultured bacterium
Lineage: Bacteria
Description: partial 16S ribosomal RNA
Rfam family: Bacterial small subunit ribosomal RNA
Source: RNAcentral